CCCUUUGUACACACCGCCCGUCGCUACUACCGAUUGAAUGGCUCAGUGAGGCGUUCGGACUGGCUCGGGGAGGUUGGCAACGACCACCCCAAGCCGGAAAGUUCGUCAAACUCGGUCAUUUAGAGGAAGUAAAAGUCGUAACAAGGUCUCCGUAGGUGAACCUGCGGAGGGAUCAUUACACAAUAACAUAUGAAGGCUGUACGCGGCUCUGUCCUCGGGCGAGUUGGCGGAGGCUGGAGUAUUUAUCACCCUUGUCGUUUGCGCACUUGUUGUUUCCUAGGCGGGCUCGCCCGCCACCAGGACCACAUUAUAACCCUUUUUUAUGCAGUUGCAAUCAGCGUCAGUACAACCAAUGUAAAUCAUUUACAACUUUCAACAACGGAUCUCUUGGUUCUGGCAUCGAUGAAGAACGCAGCGAAAUGCGAUACGUAGUGUGAAUUGCAGAAUUCAGUGAAUCAUCGAAUCUUUGAACGCACAUUGCGCCCUUUGGUACUCCAAAGGGCAUGCCUGUUCGAGCGUCAUUUGUACCCUCAAGCUUUGCUUGGUGUUGGGCGUUUUGUCUUUGGUUGUCCAAAGACUCGCCUUAAAACGAUUGGCAGCCGGCCUACUGGUUUCGCAGCGCAGCACAUUUUUGCGCUUGCAAUCAGCAAAAGAGGACGGCACUCCAUCAAGACACCUUCUCACGUUUGACCUCGGAUCAGGUAGGGAUACCCGCUGAACUUAAGCAUAUCAUA
RNAcentral lists this small RNA (734 nucleotides) under Curvularia ovariicola. RNAcentral describes it as "eukaryotic LSU rRNA". The stretch from base 1 to 178 matches the Rfam family "Eukaryotic small subunit ribosomal RNA", at positions 1656 to 1831 of the family's 1831-position model. Lineage: Eukaryota; Fungi; Ascomycota; Dothideomycetes; Pleosporales; Pleosporaceae. The record is from RNAcentral.